GAAGAAACAAAAAAAUUUUCAUUGAUAAACGAUUGUGGUUACAAAUCUAUUGUUCCCUUGAUUCUUCUCUCUUGAUUUUCUCCGUAAUUCAUCUCUUGAUUUUUUCUGUAAUUUGAGGGCCGUUAGUGGCUUAUUCUCAAACAUAGGAUGAUCUCUUUAUGAAUAUCUCAUGAUUUUGUAUUCUCUCUUGAUUUUCUCCGUUAUUCGAGGGCAUGACUGAUUUUGUGUUCUCUCUUAAUUUUCUCCAUAAUUUGAGGGCGUGACUUAUUCUCAAACAUAGGAUGAUCUCUUUAUGAAUAUCUCAUGAUUUUGUGUUCUCUCUUGAUUUUCCUUAUAAUUCGAGGGCGUGACUUAUUUUGUGUUCUCUCUUGAUUUUCCUUAUAAUUCUUUUCCAUAAUUUGAGGGCGUGACUUAUUCUCAAAUUCUUCUCCAUAAUUUGAGGGCGUGACUUAUUCUCAAACAUAGGAUGAUCUCUUUAUGAAUAUCUCAUGAUUUUGUGUUCUCUCUUGAUUUUCCUUAUAAUUCGAGGGCGUGACUUAUUUUGUGUUCUCUCUUGAUUUUCCUUAUAAUUCGAGGGCGUCUCUUGAUUUUCCUUAUAAUUCUUCGGGCGUGACUUAUUCUCAAACAUAGGAUGAUCUCUUUAUGAAUAUCUCAUGAUUUUGUGUUCUCUCUUGAUUUUCCUUAUAAUUCGAGGGCGUGACUUAUUUUGUGUUCUCUCUUGAUUUUCCUUAUAAUUCGAGGGCGUGACUUAUUCUCAAACAUAGGAUGAUCUCUUUAUGAAUAUCUCAUGAUUUUGUGGGAUAUUGGAGAUCCCAAUCUUUUUACGAAUACCAUCAGC
RNAcentral lists this long non-coding RNA (838 nucleotides) under Capsicum annuum. RNAcentral's name for it is "long non-coding RNA (CANN_LNC009118)". The record is from RNAcentral. Lineage: Eukaryota; Viridiplantae; Streptophyta; Magnoliopsida; Solanales; Solanaceae.